CCUACGGGUGGCAGCAGUGAGGAAUAUUGGUCAAUGGGCUUACGCCUGAACCAGCCAAGUCGCGUGAGGGAAGACUGCCCUAUGGGUUGUAAACCUCUUUUGUCAGGGAGCAACGCCGGCUACGUGUAGCCGGACUGAGAGUACCUGAAGAAAAAGCAUCGGCUAACUCCGUGCCAGCAGCCGCGGUAAUACGUAGGAGGCAAGCGUUAUCCGGAAUGACUGGGCGUAAAGGGUGCGUAGGUGGUUUGACAAGUUAGUAGCGUAAUUCCGGGGCUCAACUUCGGAACUCCUACGAAAACUGUUGGGCUUGAGUGCAGGAGAGGUGAAUGGAAUGCCUAGUGUAGCGGUGGAAUGCGUAGAUAUUAGGAGGAACACCAGCGGCGAAAGCGAUUCACUGGACUGUAACUGACACUGAGGCACGAAAGCGUGGGGAGCAAACAGGAUUAGAUACCCUUGUAGUC
This 461-nucleotide ribosomal RNA is filed under the name uncultured bacterium. RNAcentral describes it as "partial 16S ribosomal RNA". It matches the Rfam family "Bacterial small subunit ribosomal RNA", at positions 338 to 795 of the family's 1533-position model. The record is from RNAcentral.